GCCGAAAAGGCAGACUAAUACCUUAUGUUCUUCACUGACGGCAUCAGAUGUGAAGUAAAGAUUUAUCGGUUAUGGAUGGGGAUGCGUCUGAUUAGUUAGUUGGCGGGGUAACGGCCCACCAAGGCAACGAUCAGUAGGGGUUCUGAGAGGAAGGUCCCCCACAUUGGAACUGAGACACGGUCCAAACUCCUACGGGAGGCAGCAGUGAGGAAUAUUGGUCAAUGGGCGAGAGCCUGAACCAGCCAAGUAGCGUGCAGGACGACGGCCCUAUGGGUUGUAAACUGCUUUUGUAUGGGGAUAAAGUCAAUCACGUGUGAUUGUUUGCAGGUACCAUACGAAUAAGGACCGGCUAAUUCCGUGCCAGCAGCCGCGGUAAUACGGAAGGUCCGGGCGUUAUCCGGAUUUAUUGGGUUUAAAGGGAGCGUAGGCUGGAGAUUAAGUGUGUUGUGAAAUGUAGACGCUCAACGUCUGACUUGCAGCGCAUACUGGUUUCCUUGAGUACGCACAACGUUGGCGGAAUUCGUCGUGUAGCGGUGAAAUGCUUAGAUAUGACGAAGAACUCCGAUUGCGAAGGCAGCUGACGGGAGCGCAACUGACGCUGAAGCUCGAAGGUGCGGGUAUCGAACAGGAUUAGAUACCCUGGUAGUCCGCACAGUAAACGAUGGAUGCCCGCUGUUGGUACCUGGUAUCAGCGGCUAAGCGAAAGCAUUAAGCAUCCCACCUGGGGAGUACGCCGGCAACGGUGAAACUCAAAGGAAUUGACGGC
Molecule: ribosomal RNA, 766 nt
Filed under: uncultured bacterium
Lineage: Bacteria
Description: bacterial SSU rRNA
Rfam family: Bacterial small subunit ribosomal RNA
Source: RNAcentral